GAUGAACGCUGGCGGCGUGCCUAAUACAUGCAAGUCGAGCGAACAGACGAGGAGCUUGCUCCUCUGACGUUAGCGGCGGACGGGUGAGUAACACGUGGAUAACCUACCUAUAAGACUGGGAUAACUUCGGGAAACCGGAGCUAAUACCGGAUAAUAUAUUGAACCGCAUGGUUCAAUAGUGAAAGACGGUUUUGCUGUCACUUAUAGAUGGAUCCGCGCCGCAUUAGCUAGUUGGUAAGGGAACGGCUUACCAAGGCGACGAUGCGUAGCCGACCUGAGAGGGUGAGCGGCCACACUGGAACUGAGACACGGUCCAGACUCCUACGGGAGGCAGCAGGAGGGAAUCUUCCGCAAUGGGCGGAAGCCUGACGGAGCAACGCCGCGUGAGUGAUGAAGGUCUUCGGAUCGUAAAACUCUGUUAUUAGGGAAGAACAAAUGUGUAAGUAACUAUGCACGUCUUGACGGUACCUAAUCAGAAAGCCACGGCUAACUACGUG
This 497-nucleotide ribosomal RNA is filed under the name uncultured bacterium. RNAcentral's name for it is "partial 16S ribosomal RNA". It matches the Rfam family "Bacterial small subunit ribosomal RNA", at positions 28 to 507 of the family's 1533-position model. The record is from RNAcentral.